Non-coding RNA from Coccomyxa sp. Obi, 73 nucleotides. Lineage: Eukaryota; Viridiplantae; Chlorophyta; Trebouxiophyceae; Coccomyxaceae. The record is from the annotation of a GenBank genome assembly.
CCGGCCUUAGCUCAGUUGGAAGAGCAUGUGACUGUAGAUCACGGGGUCGUUGGUUCGAAUCCGACAGGCCGGA